GACGGAGGGUGCAAGCGUUGUUCGGAAUUACUGGGCGUAAAGCGCGUGUAGGCGGUUCGAUAAGUCGGACGUGAAAGCCCGGGGCUUAACCCCGGAAGGGCAUCCGAAACUGUCGAGCUUGAGUACGGGAGAGGGAAGCGGAAUUCCUGGUGUAGAGGUGAAAUUCGUAGAUAUCAGGAGGAACACCGGUGGCGAAGGCGGCUUCCUGGACCGAUACUGACGCUGAGACGCGAAAGCGUGGGGAGCAAACAGG
Molecule: ribosomal RNA, 253 nt
Filed under: uncultured bacterium
Lineage: Bacteria
Description: partial 16S ribosomal RNA
Rfam family: Bacterial small subunit ribosomal RNA
Source: RNAcentral